Molecule: ribosomal RNA, 253 nt
Filed under: uncultured bacterium
Lineage: Bacteria
Description: partial 16S ribosomal RNA
Rfam family: Bacterial small subunit ribosomal RNA
Source: RNAcentral
UACGUAGGGUGCGAGCGUUACUCGGAAUUACUGGGCGUAAAGCGUGCGCAGGCGGUUUUGUAAGACAGGCGUGAAAUCCCCGAGCUUAACUUGGGAAUGGCGCUUGUGACUGCAAGGCUAGAGUAUGUCAGAGGGGGGUAGAAUUCCACGUGUAGCAGUGAAAUGCGUAGAGAUGUGGAGGAAUACCGAUGGCGAAGGCAGCCCCCUGGGACGUCACUGACGCUCAUGCACGAAAGCGUGGGGAGCAAACAGG